This is a long non-coding RNA of Sphaerodactylus townsendi, 701 nucleotides long. RefSeq lists it as uncharacterized. Lineage: Eukaryota; Metazoa; Chordata; Lepidosauria; Squamata; Sphaerodactylidae. The record is from RefSeq and is a predicted model, not a curated record. The transcript has 5 exons.
GGUUUGGACAAACAGGAGGGGUCAAGGUGGAUAUUCAAGUAAUGCCAGCUGAUUGGCUGAAGAGGAGGAGGAGUUGUUAACAUCCUGCAGAUAUUUCCAGAGAAGGCAAAAUUCAGCCAGGACAAUGCACAGGCACUGAACUCUGCUCCUCUGGACCUAUUCCUCUACAAGAUAGUUUCCUGAGAGUGAAAAUCCUCUGUAAACUCAGGUGGCAAAGACCCAGUAACCCCGCCCUGCAACACGAGAGCUGUUCCCACUAAUUCCCCAUCCUAAAAGGGACAGAUUCUACCAUUUCAGAUUUCUGAUUGGUUCCAGAUUUCUACAAGCUGAAUCCUGUUGCACUGUUGCUCAUCAUCCAUUGAUUGCAUUGAGCUAUUCUGUGUAAUCUGCAUUGAGUCCUAGAAAGGAAGGCUAUAAAAAAUGAAAAUAAAAUAAGUAUCAAGACACAAGACUAUGUACCAGAACAAAGUGCCACCUGAUGUCCUCACCAUUGGGUUCCUCUGCCCCUUGGAGCUGUCAAGCCCAGCCCGCUAGGGAUUGGACCGUCAGGCCUCUAGGCCUGCCUCCCUGACUGUGGCCUGUUUUGGGUUGCGCUGGCCCUGCCCCACUCUGUGGAAAUGCUGAGGCCAGUUGAUUGGAGCUGGGUUGAGGUUGUGCCAACCCUACCCUUCUCAGUGGAACAGCGGAGGACUGCUCCUGCU